Mustela erminea (ermine) is the source of this 553-nucleotide long non-coding RNA. RefSeq lists it as uncharacterized. The record is from RefSeq and is a predicted model, not a curated record. The transcript is spliced from 3 exons. Lineage: Eukaryota; Metazoa; Chordata; Mammalia; Carnivora; Mustelidae.
GGCUUCGGGCUCGGCUCUAGGAACCUCUGCACGGGUGUGCUUAGAAACCAGCACUGAGUCGGCUCUCGCUCCUCCCCGACUGCUGAUCUCGAUGGUGUUUUCCCACCUCCGCCCGCUCCUCUGCCUGCUGCGCCUGAGUAAACUGCCUUCCGGACCCUUUGAGGCCGCCGGACCCUCUGAACCAGAGGACGUCCCCAAAGCUAGUCUUUUGUACCCUCCUCUCCUGCAAGAGGCUCACAACGGUCUCUAUAAGAGCCUGUGUUCAUUUUCUGUUGCUGUAAAAUUUCCUGAGGAACUGAGGCCCUCGGUCCAACAGUCCAUGAGGGACUGAAUUGUGCCAACCACCCUGUGAAUGAGCUUGGCAUCAGACCCACCCCUGUGGAGCCUUAAAAUACCCACAGCUCGAACAAAACCCUGAGCUGGGGCCCGGGAAGCAGCACCCAGAUUUCGGACUUGAAGACACUGUGAGCCCUGCCCCUCCCGCUCCGUCCCACCCACGUCCAGCAGGAGCACCUGUGGCAAACACAGGCAUUUGCAAGAUUGACAAGGGCAG